GGGGGGAUGCCCGAGCGGCCAAAGGGGCCAGACUGUAAAUCUGGUGGCUGACGCCUUCGCAGGUUCGAAUCCUGCUCCCCCCA
RNAcentral lists this transfer RNA (83 nucleotides) under bacterium HR14. It matches the Rfam family "tRNA". From Rfam's summary of the family: Transfer RNA (tRNA) molecules are approximately 80 nucleotides in length. Their secondary structure includes four short double-helical elements and three loops (D, anti-codon, and T loops). Further hydrogen bonds mediate the characteristic L-shaped molecular structure. tRNAs have two regions of fundamental functional importance: the anti-codon, which is responsible for specific mRNA codon recognition, and the 3' end, to which the tRNAs corresponding amino acid is attached (by aminoacyl-tRNA synthetases). tRNAs cope with the degeneracy of the genetic code in two manners: having more than one tRNA (with a specific anti-codon) for a particular amino acid; and 'wobble' base-pairing, i.e. permitting non-standard base-pairing at the 3rd anti-codon position. The record is from Rfam by way of RNAcentral.